AAUCAAGCGUUUAAGGGCGUUUGGCGGAUGCCUUGGCACUGUAAGACGAUGAAGGACGUGGUAUACUGCGAUAAGUUUCGGGGAGCUGUAUGCAGGCUUUGAUCCGAAAAUUUCCGAAUGGGGAAACCCAACACUUCGUGUGUUACUUUAUACUGAAUUCAUAGGUAUAAAGAGGCAACCUGGAGAACUGAAACAUCUAAGUAACCAGAGGAAAAGAAAUCAACCGAGAUUCUCUUAGUAGCGGCGAGCGAACGGGGAUCAGCCUGCAAGUAAUAGCAGUGAGGUU
RNAcentral lists this ribosomal RNA (286 nucleotides) under Acidimicrobiales bacterium. Its description in RNAcentral is "partial 23S ribosomal RNA". It matches the Rfam family "Bacterial large subunit ribosomal RNA", at positions 1 to 299 of the family's 2925-position model. Lineage: Bacteria; Bacillati; Actinomycetota; Acidimicrobiia; Acidimicrobiales. The record is from RNAcentral.